GUGGUAGCUCAAUGUUAAGAGCGUGUGCUUAGCAGGCAGGAAGCCCUGGGUUUAAUCCCCAGCACACACA
This 70-nucleotide transfer RNA is filed under the name Cavia porcellus (domestic guinea pig). It matches the Rfam family "tRNA". From Rfam's summary of the family: Transfer RNA (tRNA) molecules are approximately 80 nucleotides in length. Lineage: Eukaryota; Metazoa; Chordata; Mammalia; Rodentia; Caviidae. The record is from Rfam by way of RNAcentral.